This 453-nucleotide unclassified non-coding RNA is filed under the name Candidatus Phytoplasma phoenicium. Its description in RNAcentral is "partial contains 16S ribosomal RNA and 16S-23S ribosomal RNA intergenic spacer". The stretch from base 1 to 293 matches the Rfam family "Bacterial small subunit ribosomal RNA", at positions 1246 to 1533 of the family's 1533-position model. Lineage: Bacteria; Bacillati; Mycoplasmatota; Mollicutes; Acholeplasmatales; Acholeplasmataceae. The record is from RNAcentral.
GUAGCUACAACGUGAGUUUUUAGCCAAUCUCAAAAAAACAGUCUCAGUUCGGAUUGAAGUCUGCAACUCGACUUCAUGAAGUUGGAAUCGCUAGUAAUCGCGAAUCAGCAUGUCGCGGUGAAUACGUUCUCGGGGUUUGUACACACCGCCCGUCAAACCACGAAAGUUGAUAAUACCCAAAACCGGUCGCCUAACUUCGUCAGAAGAGGGAGCCGUCUAAGGUAGGGUCGAUGAUUGGGGUUAAGUCGUAACAAGGUAUCCCUACCGGAAGGGGGGGAUGGAUCACCUCCUUUCUAAGGAAACAUAAAAUCAUCAUCUUCAGUUUUGAAAGACUUAGUCAAGUUUUUCUGAUUUAUUUUGUUUUUUGAUAUCCUGGGCCUAUAGCUCAGUUGGUUAGAGCACACGGCUGAUAAGCGUGAGGUCGGUGGUUCGAGUUCAUUUAGGCCCACCAAA